GGGUACUUGCCCUCUCUUAAUCUCUUUAUCUUUGUUCAAAUACAUUCUAGACAGUAUCAUGUGAUCCUUCACGCCUAUGUUCCUCACUAGAUUCUAUCUUAAUAGUUCUUCAUCAAUUAUUUAUAUACCUAAUAGUUUCCAAAGCCUUCUCAUUAUCUAUAUCUGUGUUGAUAGUGAGUCAUAUCAAAGCAAGUCAAGUCCUUUGUAUUAUUGAAGCAUCAAACACUGUAAUUUUUUCUUAACCUGCUCAGAGAAUAGAAAAGAUGUACCAGGGGUCCAGGACAGAAACUUAUUAACACAUAUUAUUGCAACUUUCUCACUAUAAGUUAGUUCUAUUUCUCUCAUAAGCUUUUCUAUGAUCACCUAUUUCAAGUUGUUAGGUGGAUGUCUAUCAAACCCAACUUUUUCACAGGAUUAACCUGGGAAACAUUAUUAACGAUUUUGGUGAUGGUUCAUGAUCAGAGAUUCAUUCGUCUAAUCCUUUUCUAGACCUUUAUUUUGCUGAUGUUUUAAUGUACUUUAAAUUGUGUACUUAUAAACGCAUGAGAAUAAUCCUGGUAACUAUGAAAAACAUAUAAGCAAUUGCAGUGAUCCUAGUACAAACAAUAACAAUUGCAUUAACAUGAUCUUAAACUCAUGAACCUUUGUUAACUUGGAGUGUCUUCUUCUGUAAGUCUUGAUCAAUAAAUUUAUGGGGUAAAACAUGGAGUUAUAAUUGAAAACUAAAUUUAUUUUCUAAUUAAUUCAGCAAAGAAGUCAAAUAGCCAAUGCUUUUCUCUGAUUUUUGCCUUUUUAGAUAAAGUGCAGUUGUGACCUUUCACUGCAAAUAGAAGCUUAUUGCCUUUAAGCCUAAUAUUUAUCAACUGAAAUUUGAUAAUAAUGCUUCUUUAUAUAAUGGAAUUCGUUGAGAAUUGGGAAAAUCUGAAAGUGUUUUAACAAUUUCAUGUAUUCUCAUUCAGAUAAAAUUUGUUUACUUCUGUAGAAAUGACACAAGGAAUAAACAAUGGAAAAUCUUCAUAAUAGAAGAAAAUGUAUUAAGUACAAAUUUGCCUCAACUAAUCUAUCUCACUUUCUGUUGGCAUGAUUUACAGCUCAUUCAUUCAACUGAGAAAUGAGGUUUAGGAACUCAUCCUCCCUGCAGGGAAUUGUGAGACCACCAGUUGGAUGAUCAUAUCCAAAUUCUUCUUCGGCUUGUUGUAGUAACUCUUGAAAUGAAGGUUGGUUUAAGUAUGAUACUG
RNAcentral lists this long non-coding RNA (1238 nucleotides) under Lotus japonicus. Its description in RNAcentral is "long non-coding RNA (LJAP_LNC000774)". Lineage: Eukaryota; Viridiplantae; Streptophyta; Magnoliopsida; Fabales; Fabaceae. The record is from RNAcentral.